Molecule: long non-coding RNA, 381 nt
Organism: Lepidothrix coronata (blue-crowned manakin)
Lineage: Eukaryota; Metazoa; Chordata; Aves; Passeriformes; Pipridae
Exons: 3
Source: RefSeq, a predicted model, not a curated record
GUAAGGAGCCGACGUGUUGGGAAACAUGAUGGCAACACCACAAGCCAUGAGCUGGCAGUGCAGGAAGCCAGGGAGGGAGCAGCCUCAUCCCAUUGGAUGAAGGUGCCCGUGGAAGGGGAGAACAGCCUGGCCAGAGGCAGGUCAGCAUGUGAUGAGCUGCCCUGUUCCCACCUGGGGGCUUGCCAGCAGACCAGGAGAAGCCCUGCAGCAUCAGGCAUUAAUGGCACUAUUUGGGGACAGCAGAAACUGGAGUAAGAUGGGCAGAAAUCCACCCUGGUGUGCACAAACCAGGCCUUUCACCUGCUCUAAAUCUACUGCUGCCUCAGCCACCCAAGAUGCGGGAAGGAUAUGUGAGCAUUCUGAUGGACACAACAGCCACUU